RNAcentral lists this microRNA precursor (62 nucleotides) under Sphenodon punctatus (tuatara). Its description in RNAcentral is "Spt-Mir-34-P3c_pre stem-loop". The record is from RNAcentral. Lineage: Eukaryota; Metazoa; Chordata; Lepidosauria; Sphenodontia; Sphenodontidae.
UGGCAGUGUAUCGUUAGCUGGUUGUAAAGCUUAAGGACACCAGCUAACAUGCAGCUGCUCUC